UACGUAGGGUGCGAGCGUUGUCCGGAAUUAUUGGGCGUAAAGAGCUCGUAGGCGGCUUGUCGCGUCGGAUGUGAAAGCCCGGGGCUUAACUCCGGGUCUGCAUUCGAUACGGGCAGGCUAGAGUUCGGUAGGGGAGAUCGGAAUUCCUGGUGUAGCGGUGAAAUGCGCAGAUAUCAGGAGGAACACCGGUGGCGAAGGCGGGUCUCUGGGCCGAUACUGACGCUGAGGAGCGAAAGCGUGGGGAG
This 245-nucleotide ribosomal RNA is filed under the name uncultured bacterium. RNAcentral describes it as "partial 16S ribosomal RNA". It matches the Rfam family "Bacterial small subunit ribosomal RNA", at positions 524 to 768 of the family's 1533-position model. The record is from RNAcentral.